GUAAGCUGUCUCUUUCCCUCCAGCCAGCUCAAAGAACCAGCCCUUGCUCUUGAGGUGGAAGAUGUCAAAAGUCAGGCAGCUUUGAUGUGUGUGGCUGUGAGAGAAACGGCCUAAUGUUUCACUGCCAGAUGUGAAAUGACUGGACUCUUCUAGUCCAGGAGCACUCCUUGGACCCACCUAUCCUAUUGCUCAUCCUUUCCACCUGCUCCCUUACAGCUCCUUGCUGGGUCUUGAGAGGCAAGCACAGUGCCCUUGCUGCUCCCUUAUAGCUCCAUGCUGUGCACACAAAGGGGCUUCCUUCUCCUGCCCUUCUGGCAAGAGAGGCUUGGGGGUGAGGUGAGGCAUGGGGUAACUGCUGCUGAAACACCCCUCAGACUUUCCAGUUGGCGUCUCGAGAACCAACUCCAAAGCCAAGAGAGUGAGGGAGAACACAGAAACCUCUCGAAAUAACAUCUGUUGAGUUAAUGUUUGAAGAACUUGAAGAAAGUGUUUGGACAUAGUCCAGUUCUGUUUCUAGGGAAAUCUAGGACUUAAUCAAGGAACAAAGUUCAUAGGUGUGGGAGGAAAAAUUAGGAAACAUUUUGUUUUGGUAGCUGGAAAGCUUGCCUCCAGAAGUGAUGGAAAGAAGCUCAAAGAGGAACUCGUAUCUUUCUCCAAUUGGCCCAAAUCUGGCAAAAGUGAAGCAUCAUGCUUCGAGCUCUGCUGCUCGCAGGAAACAACAUGGAAGUUGCUCUGAUUAAAAGAACCAAAAGGAAGUGAAGUGUGGAACUGUCUUCUGUGAGCCCUACGUCUCAUCUGGGCUCGUGAUCAGGGUUAUCGCAAGUCCAGAAGGGUUCAGAUGGUCACGCAGCUCCUGCCUGCAGAGGACACGUGGGAGAUGGAAGAACUGGCACUUCGGUGCCCUCAAGAGGUGGUACAAACUGAAACAUAAUCUGGUGCAUAAAAGAGUUUAGAAUGACUCAUAAGUGACCAGUUUAUAGACUUUUCAAAGGGACCCGGGAAUAUUUGUAUGGAAGCCUCUACUAUGUACAAAGGGGACAGAAGGAUGAGGCAGAUAAGGUCCUUGUUCUGAAAGAGCCUACAAUCCGGGAAGGAGAUGAGAUGUGCGUCCACGUGGCUAGCAGAUGAGAGAGGAGACGAGCCUGCCUGCUCCCCUGCUUCGAGGCUUUUCUCAGCACAAAGGAGCACGAAUCAGCCUUCAGCGUCUUGAAGAGCAAUGAAUAUGUUUGCUGAAAGAUUCUGGAGGGAGCUGGCAAGGGGUGAGGGACCAGGCAUCACAUGGACCAAUACAGUGAAGACUUCUCGAAAAAAAAUCCUCUACCCAUCUGCCUCGCAGGUUCCAGGUCUCCCGGUGAUGGCUGAAAAUCCUUCCUCUCUUGGAGUCAGGCCUCCUGCUGCUUGGCCGGCUCCUUCCUCCCUCCCUCCCCUUUGUCAACAUCACACCACAUUCCCGCUGCCCCCCACGCCAGCCCCACAGAUGCUGUCUUUGCUUCUCUGUGCUGCUUUCUUCAGCUGGCUCUUUUCAGUAGCCCUCUUGGCCCAUCUUGGUCUCCGCAGGUUCUUUCCACCAUCAGCCAGUGAGGCCUCAGUGGGGAGGGGCAAACACAGGGGCCUCCUUGGGGAUGAACUAUACCUGAGCCCAGCGCUCCGAGAGAACAGUGAAGGUUAAUCCCGUGAUGUCUGUGACUGAAAUCUCCCAUCCUUUUAUGCUCUGGGAAAUGGCUUACCACAGAGAACCAUCCUUCCCCACGUGCCUUAAAUAAGACCCACUGUUACGGGCUGAUGUGUCCCCCCAAAUUCAUAUGUUGAAGUGCUAACUCCCAGCCCCUCAGAAUGUGACUGCAUUUGGAGAUGGGGUUUGAAAGAGGUGAUUGAUUUAAAAUGAGGUCAAAAGAGGGGGGCCUUAAUCCAAUAUGACUGGUGUUCCUGUAAGAAGAGGAGAUCAGGACACAGACACACACCAUGUGAGGGAAGAUCACGUGAGGCCCCAGGGAGGAGACGGCCAUCUGCAAGACAAGGAGAGAGGCUGCGGGAGGAAACAGCCCAGCUGACACCUGCAUCUCAUGCUUUCACCUCCAGAGCUGAGAGACAAUAAAUGUCUGUUGUUUAAGCUGCCUAGUCUGUGGUAUUUGUUACAGCAGCCCGAGCUGACUGAUACACUCCCUGUCCACUCAUUCUCGUGACCCCCAUAAGAAUCAUGGAUGGCUCCCUGUUUACCUGUCACAAGGCCAGACACAGACCUCCAAAUUCCCGUCUUUGUUUCAUAAAUGAUUAACUGAGCUGUUGUCCCCCAAAACUAGACAUAGGGAUAGACAUUUCUUGUUCAGCCAACUGACAGACUCCCGUGGUUACAAAAACGUCCCAACUGUGAAGUCACCCGCCUGGGACUUGUCUACUGCUCCCUGUAAGUGUCUAGACAAAACCACUGUGGAGACCCUCUUAUCUUUGGAUCUGGAGUGCUCUCCCUACCACUAUAGUCUGGAUAAAUCAAUGUCCUUGCCUGUUUGUUUGCCUUUGACAAGUUGGAGCUGUGUUCAGAGGGAGCUGGAAGCAUCUGGACUCCGUCUUCCAGUGCUGAGGGCUGAGACCUCUCCAGCCUGUUGUGCUCCUUCUUUGACUGUGCUCCAGGGAUCCCACGGUGAGUCCAGCUCCUGAUCUCGGCUCUGGACCUUCGUCCGCGGUAGCAUGGAUCCUCAAUGCAAACCUGAGAGAUUUAACCCUCCCCUGCAACUCCAUCCUUAUCUGGUAUGUAGAUGACACUUCUCUGCUUACCUGAUAUUGACAGCUCAUUUAUCACCACCCAUUAUUUACUCCAAGCCUACAAAGGACAUAAGGUCUCUUAAGACAAAAUGCAGUGAUGCCGUCCUCAAGUGCAUUACCUAGGGCAUGCGAUCUCCUCUGAAGAGAAGAUCUUAUUCCCUCAAUGAAUUAACACUAUCAUCAAUUUCCCUCUCCCAGCAGUUGACUGUUGCAGGAACUGGAUCCCUAACUUUCCACUGUGGUCUCCCCCUUCUUGGCCAUGGCUAAGGAGACCAUCCCCAAGCCCCUUAACUGGGACUCUCCUUCCACGUCUGCAUUUCAAAGCCUCACAUCCUCUUUAUCCUCUUCUCCCGCCUUUGCAUUUCCCACUGCUGGUGGGAAUAUAAAUCGGUACAACUGCUUUUAAAAAUGGUUUGGCAUUUUUUUAUAAACUUAAGCAUACACUUACCAUAAGACUUAGCAUUUGCUCUCUGAGAAAUUCAUUCUCUCCAAGAGAAAUGAAAACACGUCCACAUAGAGACUUGACCACGAGUGUUCAUAACAGCAUUUUUCAUAGUGACGGCAAACUGGAGGCAACCCGACAGUCCAUCAGUAGGUGAAUGGACAAAUAAGUUCAGGUAUAUCCAUACAAUGGGUCACUACAUCGCAAUAAAAAGGGACAAAUUAUUGAUGUAUGCAACCUCUGUGGAUGAAUUGCAUAGGCAUUAUACUGAGAGAAAGAAGCCAGACACAAAAAGAGUACUUACUGUAUGAUUUCAUUUCUAUCAAACUCUUGAAAAAACAAAUCUAAUCUGUAGUGACAGAGAGCAGAUCAGUGGUGGCCUGGGGCUAAGUGUGGAAAGGAUCGGCUGGGAAGGGGCCUUACAGGAGCAUUUUUGGGGUGAAUGAAAUGUUCUGUUCCUUGCUUGUGAUGGUAGCUACACAGGUAUACAUUUGUCAUAUAGGAGCAUUUUACUGUAUGGAAAUACACCUCAAUAAAGUUGAUAUAAAUUUAAAAACAAAAAAGAAUGAGUCGCAUGUACAGACAUGGAAUAUUUUAAAAUGCCACAGAAAAAUAAGCCUAGAAUUAUAUUUAAAAAUAAUAAAAUUUUAAUCACUUCCUUAUCUAUGUAAAUACCUGGUAAAAGAUCCAGAAAAAUCACAGCAAAGUGAUAACUGCGUGUUGACUAAGGGGAGAGGAGUGAGAUGGAGGGGACUUUCCACUUCCUGCAAGUAAUGUUUACUCUGUACUGUUAGGUUUUUAUAAUCAGUAUGUAUGUAUUAUUUGUAUACUGUCUUUUAAAAAAGAAACACGCGUGCACACACACACACAAAGGCACCUGUCCCUAAUCACAUGAAUCUCAGUCCAGUUCUGACUCCAGAGCAGAAAGCUAAGAGCCCCUAGGCAUGAGGGCUCUGCUGUGAAGGAGGACCACAGCUCCUUCCCCAUCAACUGCAGGCCCAGGACACCAGGCUGAAGGGGCAGGGUGCUCCAGUCAUCACCUUGCCAGCCUUCUGGACUCUGGCCACUGUGGCGGCUCGGCAGGUCAUGUGGAAGAGCUAAGCCAGAGGAAUGCCUGAGGCUCCAUCAGUUUUUCAUACUACUUGACUACAAUAAUUGUGAACAAUUUGUUUUCUUGAUAAGUGUUUUCUAGUGACAACCAAAUAAUCUAGUUUCCAGUAGAGCAGUGGUUCUUAACUGGGGAUAAUUUGCCCCUCAGGGGACAUCUGGCAAUGUCUGGAGACAUUUUUGAUUGUCACACCAAGGGGAGAGGGUGCUACCAGCAUCUAAUGGGGAGAGGCCAGGAAUGCUGCUUCACAUUGUACAAAACACAGGCCAGCUCCCACAACCAAGGAUUAGCCUGCCUGAGAUGUCAGCAGUGCGAGGCUGAGAACCCAGAUGCAGGCAACUGCUUCUAUGACACUCAUCAGUCUUCUUUAAGAAAUAGAAGGAAAUCAUCCAGGUUGCUUUAGUGAUGGAGGUGGAUUCGUACAGUAGUGUUCUGUCUUUAAAUGGAAUGAGCUAUAGCGUGGCAAUAGAAACAGAGCAGUUGUCUUCUUAUCUUGUUUCUGGACAAAAGUUGGUCUUGGGCAAAAACAUGAAGGGCAACUCUGGGAAGGUAGCUGUUGUUGGAAGAGGACUUGGCUAGGAGCAUGGUGCCCUGGGUUCUAGCUCUGGCUCCUUCAUGCAAUUUCUGCAGGUCUUUGGGAGCGCCACUCUCUAGGGGAGCAGGGGGACUAAAGCAUCUUCAUCUUUCCUCUGGUUCCAACAGUUUUUACUCUCUAACAAGUCCGUGCAUGAGUCAGUUUGGAGAGUUGCUAAAGCACAAUGAAAUGUAAUGGAAGAAGGAAGAAGAAACCACUACAGCUCAGCCCUCCCACUCCUAGCAUGUGCUCCCUCCCAGCAUGUGCUCCCCGUGUGACCUGCUUCCUCUAUCCCGCUUGUGCUUGAGAACCAGCUGCUGAGAAAGGAGGAGUCCGGCAGGCAGGCAGGCUGGCCAGGGGUGAGCCCCCAGCUUGGGGACAGUCGUGUGAGAAUGGGCUGGGCAGAGGAAACUCUUCGGUGCUUGUUUUCACAGUGGGGGUCCAGGUAUCAGAAAGAAGUUAGCUCACCUGAGGCUUCCUAUAGAGGCUGCCGUGCUGCGGUACCCAGAGCGUGCUUCUGGAUGGCGAUUAAGCAACGGGAACAAGUUCUGGAGGUCUGCUUGGUGCUAAAUCCACACUCCAUCCGUCAGGAUUCUGUGGGUUGCACACGUGCCUCAUCCAUCUCAGCUGGGGAUGCCUCCAGCUUCCCAUCGCAGUUCUCUAAACCCUGAUGAGGUGUGGAGCUUAGAGAGCGUGGAUAACAUGAGCAUCGCUGGGCAGGUGAAAUGAGAAAGCACUGUGCCUGACCCCGCCCCUCUGCCGCCUCCCCCGGCUUCCUAACCACACACAGUGUAGGUCUCACGUUGCUGACUCACACGGCCCACUAGCUGGAGACAUUCUGGAGGGUUGACUGCCACAAGCCCAAAUCAUGGGUUUGUCAUGUUAUUUUCAAAUGUGGUCUUUCCUACUUUCUAUUAUGGAUGUCAGAUUUUCCUCCUUCCCUAAAAGUUAUCUUUACACACACACACACACCCCUGCAUCUGGGUGGGGGGAGGUGGACGUGCGAGACAGCAAAAAUACAUGUUAAAUUCGGGUCACCUUAUGUCUUAGGCUGCUAUAACAAAGUACCGUAGCCUAUUGGCUCACAAACAACAGAAAUUUAUUUCUCACAGGUCUGGAGGCUGAAAGUCUGAGAUCAGGGUGCCAGCAGGGUCAGGCAAGGGUCCUCUUCUGGGCUGCAGACUUCUCGUUGUAUUUUCACAUGGCAGAAAGAGGGUGAGAGAGCUCUCUGGGGUCCCUUUUAUAAGAGCACUAAUCCAACCUCAGGACCUACUCACCUCCCAAAGGCCCCACCUCCUAGCACCGUCACCUUGAGGGGGUAGGAUCUCAACAUGUGAAUUUGAGGGGGACACAGACAUUCAGUCCGCUUCAUGCCAUUUCCUCGGUUCUAGGAGGAACACUUUCUCAUGCUUUAACCAUUUUGAAAUCUCCAUGUCUUACACUCGCCGUCAACUAAGCAGCAGUGUGACAUAGUUGUCAUUGCCACUGUAUGAGCAUCAGAGCUUAGAGAAUGGGUGAGGCUUGGGGGAAAAUCCCAAGGACAACUGUGGAGCACUUUGAAAAGAAAUACGGCCUUACCAAACUCUCCUGGGAGCUCCUGAUGGCUCACAGGACAACGGUGUGUGGGAAAACAUGGAUUUCAAAGGUCCCGCAUCGAAGAGCGAUUUCAAAGAGGUAAAUUCUGACUGUGAAAAUGUUUUACACAUACCUUAACCAAUUUAUUUAGUCUAUAUUUCCCUUUUUGUGUAUGCAGAAAAGUGAUAUAUGAUUUAAAAAAUUCCAUGUCCAAAUAGAUCUAAAAGAGCUCUUUUAAUACAUUUAAAAUAAAAAUUAAAAGUGCCAAGAAAGCAUUGUGACACACGUAGUUAGAUGUCAGCGUUUCUCCUUUCUGAGUGCUCCAUUAACUGACAGCGCAUCUUACACCAAUUUAGUUUAGAUUCCGUGAAAUACAGUAGUGUUUAUGUUUUAUGUUUCAAUAGUCAUCAAUCUGUUUCUAAUGUAUUCAUGGAAAAAUAUGUGAGCCAUCUUGCCAUUAAACUGUUUUUGAAAUCGCGUGGAAGCCUGCCCAUGUCUUUGUAAUUUACUUAAGAAACUCUCUUGCUUUCGGGAGGACGAGUUUCAAUAUCGUAAGGCUCUCUCUCUGGGUAUAUUUUUGGUUAAGUUUUUGUUAAUCCUGGCAUUUGUCUAAAGCAAUGAAAGGCAAGUGAAAUUAAAAUGCUCACAUUAUAAAAUGUGCAAUCCGGAGAACAAAAACUCAGUUGUGCAAAGUUGGUGUGGCUUUGAUAAAAACAGUUCUGGUCAAAAGCCUGGCCUGUUGGCUCCAGCAGUGACUGACUUACGAUGAGGGACACAUAUGUGCGUCCUUGAGUUUUCUUGGUGGGGCCCAUGGAUUUAUUUAAUAUAUUUAAAUAGAAAAUUUUACCCUUAUCAUUGCUGCUGCAGGUGUAUUUAUUUAUACUAUCUUUGCUUUUAGAAAAACACUGCUAUAUCAUAAAAAUAUUUCAACCUUAAAUUACUUCCCACAAGCCUCAAGUUUCAGGCAGUUCAUAUCUGGGCAUAAAGAGAAAUCAAUGUAUUCUGGCUUGAAGGGCAAUGGAGUUUGGUAUUUGUCACACUUUGAGAGAUAACAAAUGCCUCGCAUAAAAUAGACCCAUUCUUUCCACUUUGCACCGUUGUUUCAGUCCGGCACUGCCACGCCGUCAUUAUGUCUGCGCUGACAGCGGUGUCCAGGCUUGCAGGAAACUGCGUUUCCGAGAAAGCUGAAUGCAGACGUCCCCCGAUUGGCGUGCACCUGCGCUAACCAGAGCUCCCACCUGAAACGAGCUCCCUGAUCUGGGGUUUGGUGCCCUGUUGGCUUUUCGAACAAACGGCUGCUCUCCCUCCCCCGCUCCCCUCACUGAAGCCCAGAUGCUCAGUGUCCCCUCCCUGCCCACUGUGGCGGGAGCCCAGGUCCCUCCUUCCGUGUUCACUCUCCUCCCUACCGUCCGAGAGCCGCUAGGGCUCCAGGUCUGGGGUCAGAGAUUGCUCCCACUGUCCCAAUACCUUGAUGGGGAGAAAGGUUUCAGCCUCUCUGAUCAGGGGGCUCCCCUGCUUGAAAGCCUUUAAUGGCGCCCGUUGUCCUGAGGGUCAGGUCCAAGCUCCUAAAGCAGCUCCCCAAACCCUCCCUCAUCUCCCGGCGCUUCUGCGCCCCUCUGCGGCGCCUGCCUCAGUCCCCAGCCCUCCGCAGCCGUUCUCCUCCCGCUGGACCUGCGUCCAGUCCCCCGACCUGCCACCCUAUCCCUGGCUCCCGCUGUGUGCGCAAGGCCUAGAGGGGGCUCAACUGGUUUUGGGGAGUCCUGCAAACGCACUGCCCCAAGCCUUGCGGUUUUGAUGGGAAAACACAUUCCAAACCAGCGUUCAAACCCGCGUGUGGGGCACAGACGCGGCCUGCACGCUUUGUUAAAGGAAUCCGGUUACAUUAGAAGAGGCUGGGCCCCGCCGCCAACCCCCUGCUCCUGUAAGAACCCCUGUGUAGGGAUUCUUACCAGAAGCUUCCAGCCGCCCACAGAAGCCAGGCCGACAUUCCGUGCCCGCCGUCUGGCACGUGAAGGCGUUGGGAACAGAAGCGGGAACGCGCCCCCUCGCGCCGCGCGGCUCCACAGCGCGCGUCCUCGGGGCCUCCGACAGGCCACCUGGGCUGCUGCGAGCUCAUUCUCGGGCGUUAACAGGUGUGGAGCUGGUAUUUAUCCGCAGCGGCGUUUCCCUGUGCGGCCGCUGCGAGCUCCCAUCUUCUUCCUAACCGCCGCAGGGCACCUUCGCUUCCCCGUGGUUCAAACAGCGCAGGAACUCUGGCUGGCUCAAGGUUUCUGAUGCCACAUCGGCAAACAUUUCUGUUACCCUUAACGAAACCAGCAGGUGACUUUUCUCUGGCCACAGUGAAAGCAGAGGCCUGCUCAGGUAAGUCCGGGACAGCGAGCCAGAGUCAGGGCCAUCCCAGGGGCGCAGAAUCUCAGGGGAGAGGACCACAGGGUGGGCCCUCUGGAAGCAUUUUCAUGCAGCUGAAGAAGGAAAGCCUACAGGGCCUCUUGGCUGAAGUGAAGAAGUGACUCUAAGCAGACAGAGAGGAGGAGGGACUCGGCGCCUGUGUGUGUGUGUGUGUGUGUGUGUGUGUGUGUGUGUGUGCAGGGUCUCUGUGGAUUGGUGACUAUGAUGAGCCUCAGGACUCACUCAGCAUCUGCUGAUGAGUUUGCCUUAUUUCCUGACCGUUUCCCAGGUCAAGUCUCUUCCUAUGACACCUACUGUUUCUCCAGCGCUCCCUCUAGCUCCAGGGCCGUCCUAGGACGUUCAUACAUGAUCUCAUUUAACCCCCAGACAGGCCUGCGGCCAGCACUAUUACCCCUCCUUAACACAGCAGGAGACGGAGCUUGGGGAGUUGACGCUACUUUUCCAAAUCCUGAAGCCAAGUCCCCAGGAUGCCACCGCCCACAAGCUGUUCUGCCACCGUUGGUCUCCCUGGGGACCAUAUGGAGAUGGGGGCCACGUCCCCUCCAAAGAUGCAGUGGAGGAAAGAGACUAAGAGCACAUUCCCAGACUUCUCAGCAUCCUUCAAAAUGUGUUUUCAGAAAUCCAGGAAAAAUGGCUGCUUGCUGAGAUUUGGGGAUAGAAAGCCUAUUUGACUGGUGAGACCUUCCUACUCUCUCCUUUUCAUUGCCCUUCUACAUUCAGUUAGCCACCUUACUCUCCUGCUUAACCCCUUUGAAUGGUGCCCAUUGCCCUCAGGGUCAGGUCUCACUCCUUAGGAUUCCCAGAUCUUCCAGAACCCUUCACUGUCAGAGCAAGCCCACUACAUUCUGUAGUUUAAAGGGUGGCAAUAAUGCCGUUUCAAUUAAACCCCUCUCAGGAAUGACUGUCAGACCUGGGUUUGUGUGAGAAAGACAUUGGGUGUUGCUGGUGGAAAGGACUUGGUUUGAGUGACUCAGGACUUGCGAACAGCUCUUACCUCAACGGAACAGUUCUUCAGCUUCUUGUCAUUUCCUGCAGAAUCCUUCAGUGUACUCAGCCUUCCCGGAGCUGGGAUGAGUCUGGCUGCUUGGCUGGGUCCUCCUCCUUUACAGCCAUCCCAGCACCCAGAGGGCGGGUCUGGUAAGGUGCGGCCUUCAGUGUGGGGGCGUGUGCCCACUCCGCUUCCUCAAAUGAGCAGCUGCCUUUCGCUGCUGGGAAAAUACUUAAGUUUUGGCUGUAGCUGAGAGAGUUUGACAAGCCUUGCAAGGCACAAACAUUCUUUAUCUGCAGGAUGAGGUUAGUUUCUGUUUGGGCCUGGUGUUUUUGUAAGAAGGAAAUCGCUUUCAUAAGCAUCAGAUUAGCUCCAGGAAGCAUCGCAGGACAAUGAAAAGCUGGUAGAGGCAGAACGUCAGGAUUUUCUCAUUGGUCACUACUGCCACCUCCUGGCCAAACUUGUGAACUACACAGUAUGGGCUUCCUAGGGAAACUGUACGUUACUCAUGCCACUCUCCCUCUUUCUGCCAGUUCUCUGUGGUGCAAAACGGAAAUGAGAAGAAUUAUUUUUUAGAUGGAGUGUUUAUUGAUAUAUAUAAUAUUAGCAACGACGAUAAAGCCGACACAAGAAUGAUGAAUAAACACACGGUGGAUUGUUCUCAAUAGGGAAAAGACUUUAUCAAAGCAAUUUAUUCCACCUUCUGACUCAGUGUUAGCUUUGUCUAAAGUAAGUCUUCAGCCCUUUUCUGAGUUGCUAAGACCUCCUGCCUGCUCUCCAAAGCUGACUUCUUAGCAAAUUUAGGUUAAUCUACCAACCAUUUUGGACAAUCAGUAAAAAAUUAAGGACUUAAGUGAAAAUUGUAGCAUAAAAAAUUAUUGAGUCUAAAGCACGUCUUUAUGCAAUAAAAAAUAUAAGAUUUGGUAUCAGUUGUUAUCCUUAUUUCAUAUUGGUUUUAUUCUUAGGAUCUUACUUUCUAGAAAUUUAAAUUUUGAGUUAGUUGAAGGAUUAUUGUAGUACACACAGUACACGUAUAUUGACAGAGGUAGAAAUAAGUUUUUCCAGUUAUUUAAAUUUUAUUUUUUGGGGGGAGGUUGUGUUUUACCUUUAAUAUCAAAUGUGCUGAGAUCCACAGGGGUUUGAUUUCAGAACCGUGUUAAGGAUAUUGGCAGAGAUUUCUCAGAAUCUUUUCUCCCCUUCUUCCUCAACAACAGAGUCUUAGCCAGUCCGGGGCCACUGUGUUAAUCUGGGUGUUCUGAAAAGCAGAUGCUAAGAAGAGACUAAACAUGUAAGGAAUUGUUUAGGGGGAAUGUCUAUUAGAGAAGAUGGGGAGUGAAACCAGACCACAAUGCAGGUCUGACCCCAAGUGCAGGAGACGGGGAGGGCAGGCAGGCUGGGUGCAGCCUCUUAGGCGCCAGUGCAGUUCUCAGGAAAGUUCUGCAAAGCUGCUGGGAUCCUUGGGAUAGGCGGAUUUCAGAGAUGAUACCCGAUGACCUCUGCCUCCUGAUACCCAUGCCCUUACGUAACCCUUUUCCUUUGAGGGUGGACUACACCUGGUGACUAGCUUCUAAGGACUAGAAUAUGACAACGUGAGGCAUGUCUCUUUCCAUGAUGCUUAGGAAAGACUGUGACUUCCAUCUUACUGGACUCUCUCUCUUGCUAAUUCUGAUGAAGCAAACUGCCAUGUUGGAAAAUUUCAUGUAACAGGGAACUGAGAGCAUCCUCCAGCCAACAGCCAGGAAAGAACUGAGGCCCUCGGUCCAUCCGUGAGAUGCUCAAUCCUGACAACCAUCGCGAGCUGAGCUUGGAAGCAGAUGCUUUCCCUGUUAGGCCUCAGAUGGGACCACAGCCCUGGCUGGCCAGUGAGAGCUCUUGAUGCAGAGGACCCAGGCAAACUGUCCCUGAUCCCUGACCUACAGAGACGAUGGAAAAGAGGCUGGAGCUUAUUGCAGCUGAGGGACCUGAAGACAGUGUGACUCAAUCUUGGGUGCCUCUCCAUGAUGUGGGGCUUUGCUCUCAGGCAGUUACAAACCAUCCCUAAGCGUCUACUGGUUCCUAGCUCAGAACGUGGUCUUUUCCCCACAUCUGUGGCCCUCUAUGACCACAGAAUGGAGCCGUGUGGCUGACUGGCACCAUCGGCAGCUGAGCUUCAUGUGGCUGCCUCCAUAUCCCACCUCUUCCCUCUCAGCCUUGGGGCCCCCAUGCACCUGUGUCUCGGAGGAUUUGGGGGGCCCUGGGAGUUCCUGGGUCGACCUGGGAAUUCUGAUAAGACUCUGAGCAGCCACGCUUGCUCUUUCGCUGGAUUUGGAUCUCCAUGUUGGCCCAUGUGCUAGGCCACUGAGAGCCUUAGAGACACUUGUGUUCUGUUCUCAACAAGAAGGGAAGAAUAAAGGCCCUAAUGAAAACUGGGAACGUUUUAGAAAAUCUAACUUUCCAGGCCUACAAACAUAAGACAGGAAAGUGAGUGUAAGCCUGGAUUUGUGGUCUACACCAUAAGAUUUGGAGCUCUGCGGGUCCCUUCACAGGAGCAAACAGCAUGUGAAUCACCUUGCGUGCCCCAAAGCUCUGAGCAGGGCUGGCUGGCGGGGAGAAAAGCUGCAGCAACAGAUGCUUUUGGGGCAACCAGGUUGUCAACGAGCUCCCAAGAAGCCACUGGAAGAGGAGACUUGGGAGGACAGGGGAUGCGACAAGGAAAUAAAGAAAGAAAUCCGGGCGUAGGUUCCAAGGCAGAGGAUGGCACGUUGUGGGCAGCCUGGCCUUCUUGCCGUCUCUCCCUGGUCUAACCGUUUAGAUCAAUGUAAACUUUAGGAAUAGAAGAGCUGAAAAAAACAAGCUAAGAACUGACUGAAAGAGUGUGCACUUCAUCAAAGCUGCUCUGUUUGGUAUUUCUGUUUCAUUUCUCAAUCAAUGAUCAAAAUUUAAAAAUAUCCGCAAAGACGUUUUAUAAAUUGUGAUAAAAUAUACAUAACCUAAAACUUAUCAUCUUCAUCACUUGUUCAGUGGCACUAAGAACAUUUGCAUUGCUGUGCAGCUGUCACCACCAUCCAUCUCCCCAAGAUUUUCAUCUUCCCAAACUGAAACUCUGCACCCAUUAGACACUAACUCUCCAUUCCUCCCCCUCCAGCCCCUGACACCGCUGUUCUGCUUCCUGUCUCUGUGAAUCUGACUGCUCCAGGGACCUCAUAUCAGUGGAAUCAUACAGUAUCUGUCCUUCGGUGACUGGCUUAUUUCACUGAGCAUAGUGUCCCCAAGAUUCAUCCAUGUUGUAGCAUAUGUCAGCAUUUCCCUCCUUUUUAAGGCUGAGUAAUGCUCCACUGUAUGUAUACACCACAUUUUCAUUAUCCAUUCGUCCAUCAAUGGGUUAUUUCCACUUUUCGGCUAUUGUGAAUAAUGCUGCUAUGAACAUGGGGUACAAAUAUCUGUUCAAGUCCCUGCUUUCAAUUCCUUUGGGUCCCAGAAAGGAAAUUGCUGAAUCAUGUGGUAAUUUUAUUUUUAACUUUUGAGGAACUGCCAUGCCAUGCACAAAUGCUUUAACACUGACUCUGCCAGCUCAGACAAACCAUUCUCUCUGUCUAACUAACUGUGAGUGAUUCAGGAUCAUCAGGGACUUGCUGUUACUUGGUAGCGCUGGGUUGGAAUAUUUUAAUUUAACAAGGGAUUCAUUUCAAUUUUUAAAAAUCUAGGAAGAAUCUUGCUGAUGUCAGCCCAUCCUUUGGGGGCAUGGCCGUGUCCCCCAAUCAGGUUUGGUGAGGAAGACAGAAUAAGAGCGCUGGGAGAUGUUCCCAUCUCUAUUCCCAGAACCUGCUACCUUAUAUGGUAAGAGGGGCUUUGCAGGUGUGAUUGAGGACCCUGAGACCUGGAGAGGAGCCUGGAUUAUCCAGGCGGUCCCAGUGUAAUCACAGCAUCCCUCUUGGUGAAUGAGGGAGGCAGGAGAGGCUCUGAGGAAGAUGUGACUGUGGCAGAAAGCCAUAGAGAGAUGCAGUGUUUUGCAGAUGGAGGAAAAGGCCAUGAGCUGAGGAAUGUGGGUGUUUUGAGGUCAAGGAAAUGGAUUCUUCCGUAGAGCCUGCAGAAUGAGCUGCAAUCCUGCCUUCACCUUGAUUUUAGACCAGCGAGAGCCAUUUCCCACUUCUGACCUCCAGAGCUGAAAGAUAAUAAAUUUAUGUUGUGCAAACCACUGGGUUUGUGGGGAUUUGCUACAGCGGUGGCAGGACACUAAUCCAGAUGGGGCCAUAGGGUCAUGUGUUCACGUUUUGUACUUGCCCUGUGUUUUCGCCAACGAAACCGGAAGUGCCCUGGGAGCGAGCCCUCACAGGGCCUCGUGGGAGGGGCAAGGUGAGCACUCCCUGUGUGUCAGCACAAAGGGGAGGAAGGGCAAGCCGGCCGGGCAGGGCGCAGUGCUGCCUCCAAACACGAGGGCCAAGAGGCUGCGCCUUCUGUAGUUCAAGAGCUCGGACGACAGCCCUGGAGGGGCCGCCGCCCUGCCCACUCAUCCACUGGUCUCCAAGCUUUAUAAAAAACGCGGUUCUGCUAAGAAUAGCUCCACUUAAAUUACUCUGACCAGAUACUAGUUUUAAUGGUAGUAAAUGAGUAAUUUAUUUAACCUCUUUGAACUUCAUUUAAAAAAAAUUUUUUUAAAUGGGGAAUAGUAUUACUUCACAGGGCAGUGAUGACUUUCAAAUUAUCUAAUUUAUGAGAAAGUAUCCAGCACAGUGCCCUUAAAAGCAAGCCCAUAAUAAGCACUUAAGGACUGAAAAAAAAACAUUUCAGAUAAAUGCAGGGUCACAGUGCUCAAGGCCCCUGAUUCUUGGUGAAGCGUUAUCUUCUCUGGUGUGCGCUCUUUCUGGGCUAUGUGAGCAAAUUCGCUGGCUUGCCUUGCAUCAGAGCUCCCUGCCUCAUUCCUUUCCUUUAG
Molecule: long non-coding RNA, 14765 nt
Organism: Equus caballus (horse)
Lineage: Eukaryota; Metazoa; Chordata; Mammalia; Perissodactyla; Equidae
Source: Ensembl